RNAcentral lists this ribosomal RNA (581 nucleotides) under Burkholderia sp. HRRP169. Its description in RNAcentral is "bacterial SSU rRNA". It matches the Rfam family "Bacterial small subunit ribosomal RNA", at positions 102 to 677 of the family's 1533-position model. The record is from RNAcentral. Lineage: Bacteria; Pseudomonadati; Pseudomonadota; Betaproteobacteria; Burkholderiales; Burkholderiaceae.
ACGGGUGAGUAAUACAUCGGAACGUGUCCUGUAGUGGGGGAUAGCCCGGCGAAAGCCGGAUUAAUACCGCAUACGCUCUGCGGAGGAAAGCGGGGGAUCCUUCGGGACCUCGCGCUACAGGGGCGGCCGAUGGCAGAUUAGCUAGUUGGUGGGGUAAAGGCCUACCAAGGCGACGAUCUGUAGCUGGUCUGAGAGGACGACCAGCCACACUGGGACUGAGACACGGCCCAGACUCCUACGGGAGGCAGCAGUGGGGAAUUUUGGACAAUGGGCGCAAGCCUGAUCCAGCAAUGCCGCGUGUGUGAAGAAGGCCUUCGGGUUGUAAAGCACUUUUGUCCGGAAAGAAAACCUCGUGGUUAAUACCCGUGGGGGAUGACGGUACCGGAAGAAUAAGCACCGGCUAACUACGUGCCAGCAGCCGCGGUAAUACGUAGGGUGCAAGCGUUAAUCGGAAUUACUGGGCGUAAAGCGUGCGCAGGCGGUUCGCUAAGACAGAUGUGAAAUCCCCGGGCUUAACCUGGGAACUGCAUUUGUGACUGGCGGGCUAGAGUAUGGCAGAGGGGGGUAGAAUUCCACGUGUA